RNAcentral lists this ribosomal RNA (407 nucleotides) under uncultured bacterium. RNAcentral's name for it is "partial 16S ribosomal RNA". It matches the Rfam family "Bacterial small subunit ribosomal RNA", at positions 30 to 526 of the family's 1533-position model. The record is from RNAcentral.
AUUGAACGCUGGCGGCAGGCCUAACACAUGCAAGUCGAGCGGAGCGGCGGACGGGCGAGUAAUGCCUAGGAAUCUGCCUGGUAGUGGGGGAUGACGUCCGGCAACGGGCGCUAAUACCGCAUAUUAUCAGUUGAGCCUAGGUGGGAUUAGCUAGUUGGUGGGGUAAAGGCCUACCAAGGCGACGAUCCGUAACUGGUCUGAGAGGAUGAUCAGUCACACUGGAACUGAGACACGGGCCAGACUCCUACGGGAGGCAGCAGUGGGGAAUAUUGCACAAUUGGCGAAAGCCUGAUGCAGCCAUGCCGCGUGUGUGAAGAAGGCCUUCGGGUUGUAAAGCACUUUAAGUUGGGAGGCGUUACCGACAGAAGAAGCACCGGCUAACUCCGUGCCAGCAGCCGCGGUAAUUC